AUGGAAGAAGAAAUUGAUGAAGUUGCGAGCUCAUUGGAUGAAAAAGAUGAUGAGGAGAGCGAAGAACAAACAGAGGAAGAACGGAUUAGCUACCCGUGCCCACCUUCUAAUGAGAGUAACUCUUCAACUCAUACAUUAUUUAAUUUCCCUUCAUGCUUACCGAAGGAUGAAUGCUAUGAUAAUUGCUAUGAUCCCGUUGAUUCGUUUGAAAUAUCCUGUUUUGAUGAACUUUAUGCUUGUUGUGCUUGUGGCCAAGAUGCCAAUAUGAAUUAUGCUUAUGGAGAUGAACUUUCUAUAGUUCCUUAUGUUAAUAAUGACAUUGUUGCUAUUGCACCCACACAUGAUAGUCCUAUUAUCUUUUUGAAUUCUCCCAACUACACUAUAUCAGAGAAGUUUGCUCUUGUUAAGGAUUAUAUUGAUAGGUUGCCUUUUACCGUUGCACAUGAUGAUUUUGAUGAAUAUAAUAUGCAUGUGCUUGCUGCUCCUACUUGCAAUUAUUACGAGAGAGGAACUACAUCUCAGCCUCUCUAUGUUUCCAACACGAUAAAAUUGCAAGAAACUGCUUAUGCUAUGUAUUGUCCAUUACUUGAUGUGCAUGAAUUGUUCUUGUAUGACAUGCCGAUGCAUAGGAAGAGAGUUAGAAUUCGUCAUUGCUUGAUAUAUGUUGCUUUGUGCUCACUACUAAAUGUCAAAUCCCUGCUAAUUAAAAUUGGCUUUGAUAUACCUUCGGAUCCGAUGGAUUCAUUACUUGAGCACUUUAUGCCUAGCUUAAUGGCUUUAAAGAAAGCGCUGCUAGGGAGACAACCCGGAAGUUUUAGAGAGUCACUUAUUUAUGUUGAGUGCUUUUAUAAAGUUUAA
Molecule: ribosomal RNA, 858 nt
Filed under: Triticum aestivum (bread wheat)
Lineage: Eukaryota; Viridiplantae; Streptophyta; Magnoliopsida; Poales; Poaceae
Description: partial small subunit ribosomal RNA
Source: RNAcentral